This 641-nucleotide ribosomal RNA is filed under the name uncultured bacterium. RNAcentral's name for it is "bacterial SSU rRNA". It matches the Rfam family "Bacterial small subunit ribosomal RNA", at positions 57 to 711 of the family's 1533-position model. The record is from RNAcentral.
GCAAGUCGAACGAGAGAGAGGGAGCUUGCUUCCUUGAUCGAGUGGCGAACGGGUGAGUAACGCGUGAGGAACCUGCCUCAAAGAGGGGGACAACAGUUGGAAACGACUGCUAAUACCGCAUAAGCCCACGGCUCGGCAUCGAGCGGAGGGAAAAGGAGCAAUCCGCUUUGAGAUGGCCUCGCGUCCGAUUAGCUAGUUGGUGAGGUAAUGGCCCACCAAGGCGACGAUCGGUAGCCGGACUGAGAGGUUGAACGGCCACAUUGGGACUGAGACACGGCCCAGACUCCUACGGGAGGCAGCAGUGGGGAAUAUUGCACAAUGGGGGAAACCCUGAUGCAGCGACGCCGCGUGGAGGAAGAAGGUCUUCGGAUUGUAAACUCCUGUUGUUGAGGAAGAUAAUGACGGUACUCAACAAGGAAGUGACGGCUAACUACGUGCCAGCAGCCGCGGUAAAACGUAGGUCACAAGCGUUGUCCGGAAUUACUGGGUGUAAAGGGAGCGCAGGCGGGCGAUCAAGUUGGAAGUGAAAUCCAUGGGCUCAACCCAUGAACUGCUUUCAAAACUGAUUGUCUUGAGUAGUGCAGAGGUAGGCGGAAUUCCCGGUGUAGCGGUGGAAUGCGUAGAUAUCGGGAGGAACACCA